CAAUGGCGUAUAUUAAAGUUGUUGCGGUAAAAAAGCUCGUAGUUGGAUUUCUACCGAAGAUAGCCGGUCGGGUCUUCGACCUUGUAUCUGGUUUUGUCUUUGGUAUCCUCAUAGGGAACGUUUCUGCGCUUUAUUGCGUGGUGCGGUAUCUAUGACUUUUACUUUGAGGAAAUUAGAGUGUUCACGGCAGGCAAACGCCUUGAAUAUAUUAGCAUGGAAUAAUAACAUAGGAUCUUCGUCCUAUUUUGUUGGUUUCUAGGGCUAAGAUAAUGAUUAAUAGGGAUAAUUGGGGGCAUCUGUAUCAACGCGUCAGAGGUGGAAUUCUUGGAUUGCGUUGCGACAAACUACUGCGAAAGCAUUUGCCAAGGAUGUUUUCAUUGA
RNAcentral lists this ribosomal RNA (381 nucleotides) under uncultured eukaryote. RNAcentral describes it as "partial 18S ribosomal RNA". It matches the Rfam family "Eukaryotic small subunit ribosomal RNA", at positions 592 to 976 of the family's 1831-position model. The record is from RNAcentral.